This 6747-nucleotide long non-coding RNA is filed under the name Taeniopygia guttata (zebra finch). Its description in RNAcentral is "lncRNA (ENSTGUG00000024537.1)". Lineage: Eukaryota; Metazoa; Chordata; Aves; Passeriformes; Estrildidae. The record is from RNAcentral.
AAAUGUACUAAACUUGCAUGUUUAGAGAUAAAUCCAUUAAUAACAUGUCUUGGUGAACAGAGAAUAUACAGGAAUACAUCUUGUAUUCUUACAAUUGUACUCAUUCAUUUUAAGCAGAUGCCAACUUAUCAACUGUAUGGUUCCUACUUUCUAUUUCUGUUCUACUUUAUUGUUCAAAUACUCAUAGUUACAUAACUACACACCUUUGUAAUUGAUUUCCUAGGAAUUUUCAGGCCAGUAUGGAGCUCCAGGCAGGCAUGCUCUACGUUAGCAGUGUCAGAGCUGUGCACUGAAGUGACAUGAGUUGCCUUUUGGUAAAACUAAUAAGAAAACAGAAUUGUUUCGUUCCAGCCCCAAAGCAGCAGCAUGAAAAACAGUAGUGGAUGCAAUGUGGUAAUACAGGGUAUAAUGACAGAGUUUUAUUCCUGUAAAAUAGCCCUUGGUGAUUUUAAACCCAGAAAAUCCAUUGCUACUCAGAGAUAGCUGAAGCAGUUUUAUCACAUGAUGCAGGCUGCAUCAGAAAUGGCUUGCAGCAAACAAGUGGAGUUAGAGGACAGACUUCCCAGAGGUACUCUCUGGGGGGCUGAUGUCCCCUCACUGCAGUCAACAAAAUCCUCCUGACUUCUGAAGUAGAAAAGUUUUUAAUUAAAGCCUAGCAGCUUCUGAAAAUCCUUUGCUCUUGCUGUCCAGCUGUGUGUUUCAGCAGUAAAGUUUGUGCUAGCACAGAAAAUAGACCAGUAUUAAAACUAUGUGAGGCAGAGGUGCAGCAGUUAACAAAGACACUGAUGCUUUUUUUAAACCAGACUUCUGAGGGAUUUGUUUUCUGUCCUCCAGGAAGAAAGCUUUGCAGCAUCAGAAGAACAAAGAUACAAAGCAGCAUCAGAUGAUAAAUGUAAAGUGACUUCUGUUGGAGAUGACAAACCUGAUGUUACAGACCCUGUCAGAGCUCACUUGCAGCAAAGCAGAGAGAGACAUGAUCAACUAGAAUCCAGUACAUGUACAACUGAUCGAGUUCAGGGGCUGAAAUUUCAGGUAAACUGCUUCUACUCUAUCAGUGUUAUAUUUUUUUAAAAAAUCAAGUUCUGCUUUAGGUACUGUCUCAGUAGAGUAUUUUUAUGGAUGAAAAUAUAAUUUUAAUAAGUGAGAAACUCUACUUUCACCCACAUUAAACUUGAGCAUCCUCAUUCUUUAUUCCAAAGUGCUACAAUAAAUUCCUAACUAUUUGGACUUGACUUUACAGUUCUGGAGAGAUCAGAUGUGCUAGUAGGAGCACUAAAAGCCUGAAAGCCUGAACAGAUGCACAGCAAGAGUCCAAUAAACCUCCCUUGUCUACAGUUCUCUGGAGUGAGCCACAGAAAUUCAGCAAAGCAAUUUCUGUUUGUAGAAAGCCAGGAGGAAUGGAGAAACAAUACAAGCUGACAGCUGAAAGAUUUUUUGGGGGGUACUAAAGCAGAAGCAAAAGUAGCCAGAGGCUAAAGGACCUGCUACUGUAGAUGCAAACAACAAAAUGAUUAGCAUUCAAGCCACUGAUUUUUAUAUUCUGAUGAAAAUGAACAGAAACCUUAAUACUAUCAGCUACAAAAAGAUGACAGAUGUAUUUAGAUCACAUCACUAAUUCCAAACAUGGAAUCUAGUCCUUUGGCAAAGUUAAGCAUCCAGGGAGUUAGUGGGACUGCUCAUGUUUAAAGCAUAUGAUCUUGGCCAUAGCUGCAGUGUGCAGUUGCUCAGCAGUAAAUUGGAUAAUUUAGGGUACGCCACAACCCCCAAAAAAGGGGUUUAGCAUGGUCUGCAAAAAGCCAGAACCUGAAUCAAUAGCUCAUGUGCCUAGACUGAACACCUGACAUAUUUCAGCACGUUUCUGAGUUGGGGCUCUAGGUAGUGAAUUUAAUUUGCAUUUCAUUUCUUUACCAGACUAGCAAAAGUACCAACAGGAGAGUGGCUUGUGAGCCAGCUGCUCUAAAAUCAGUGCCAGCCUACAGAAGCUAAUGUACACCCAAUAUCCACACCACAUGGAUCAUGCUCUCUCUGGUCUACACUGUGACAUGGGGUUCUCUCUGAGGAUCAUAGGCUGUCAUCACAGAGGCUUGAUCAUAUAUUUUAUUCCACUGAUUGUAUCUUUAAUUGCUUAGAGCAGAAGAAUCUGGAAUUACACAGUCACAUAACUGGAUUUAAAAGGCACACAAUGUACAAAUAUAUAUAAAAAUCAAUGUACAAAGUGGGCUGCAUAUAAUUGCAUUAACUAGAAAACAAAUGUACAGGCUAUAAAAAUGGAGUCCCAAAGAGGAAGCUACUAUUAAAGUGCUAACAAGAAAAGAUAUUUAUAGCUCAUUACACACAUUAAAAAGAGCCUCAUGUUUUAUUCCUGCUAUUGCCAGGAAACAACAAACAUCACAGAACAAAAGUUAAAUCAACACUUUGUCCUGCACUGACAUUUACUACAUGGGUGUGUUCCACCAUGUCUUCUGAGAUUGCUGUGACAGAAUAGAUACCAGGAGAAACUUCAAUGUAGAAAUCUUUGGAAGGUCUUCUGGGCUUUAAGGGAAAAAAAGGAAAAAAAAAAUAAAAAGAAGAAAAGCUAUGUUAUUGGUUACUUAUCUUAGCUUUCCAAAAAAAAAAAAAAAAAGUGUUUGGGUAAAAAAAUUACAUUUCAGCUGCUAUAUAAAUAUAAUAAGACUUUUCUAAAUACAUGGAAGGCAGUGCAAGCAAAACUGUAAAAUGUUUCUGUCAGUACAAAAAUUAGCAAGUGCCAUACUCAAAGCAUUUUUAGCUAAUGUUUCAACCAGUGGAAGUAAUCACUGUGCUGUAAUUUAUGCUGUUUCUCAUCUUUUGUGGCGGAGAAGUUCCUGAAGUUGUUUUGUUGAGGUGUUAGGCUUUGAAAAAUAAAUUCAGUUUUCUUCUCCUUGAGGAACAGGAGUCUUCAGGGAGCCUGUGGAAGGGCCAAGGGCAAGAAUGCCACAAUCUGGUUUCUAACUAAUUGUGCAAGUCUCUGUAUGCCCAUUUGACUGCCUAUACAUAUAUUCUGAUUUUGAAUGCACCAUUGGUAAAUCUUCUGUGCCAUCAAGGUCUCCAGAUCUGUCACAGUUUGUAACCAGCUUGAUUCAAAACGAUAAAAGAAAUGCUAGCAAAUACUUCAACUUAAAACCAAAGUAUUCUGUACACUUACUCUUUGCUGGCAAGCUUGAGCUUGCCUGGCUUCCACAGGACCUUCAGUCCCCUGGAAAGAAAAAGAGAAUUAUUUUUUAAUGAUCCAGCACACAAAGCAAAUCCAGGCCAAGAGAAGGGAAGCUUUUAGGUGCAUGAAGUUUUUCCCUUCACAAAAGGAUGGAUAGGACACUGAUCAGUGCCACAAGAAGUGACUCUGCCUUCCCCAACCCAACACAGGCUUGGAUCAGUCCAGGUGUUCUUAUGUCAUAAGGUCAACCUACAUACAUGAGUGUGAGUGCCACAGACAUCAGGUGGAUGACAAGUGCCCCACAGCAAGGGAAGGAGCAACCUUUCAUCAAAACCAGAAGUCCCUACUUACCUCUUCUUCUAUGGAAUCCAUCUUUCUUUCUACUGACUUGCCAUGGUAUUUGCAGAGGUGUUUGAUUUCAUUCUCUUUGCACUUGUUGGCUGCCAUAGACCCAUAGCACUUCUGGACAGCAACAGAAACAGAAAAUAUCAUGUAGGAGAUACCAAACCAUACUUGCAGCCACUGCAGAUUUAAAAUUGAAAGUAGAACUACACAGAUAGUGAUGGUGUGCACUAAUUGGCUGGUUUAUUCUCUGUGAGGGUGAGAACAAUGCCUGUAUCUCCAAAGGCCACCUGCCUUCUGCUACAGGACUCUCUCACAGGCUUGAUUUUAGAUGCCUGCUUCCUAACACAAUAUGUAUGGCAGGGACACUGACACAUCAGAACUGAAUUCAUGAAAAUGUCAGAAGGAAUACUCUGGAAAUGCCUGCCUGUUCAGGCUGGUCAAGAAAAGCCGUGGUGGAAGAAGGCAUAGUUUAUGGGUCCUUAAGAGGACAUGUAUGCAAGCCAGGUGCUCUUCAACCCAGUCAGUGAAGAUGGGUUCUGCAGGGCAUGUGCAGCAGCAGUGCUCUAAAAGCAGAAUAUGUUAAUAAUGAAAAAUGAGUCAGUAAAGAAGCUGAAGUGUCUUCAAGGCUGGGACUAUUUUCACAGCAGUUUUGAGAAGUGUAUUUAAGCACACAGCAGCCUUCUUCUGGUUCCACUGCAGAUGUACUAGCAUCUUCCCCACUGCAAAUUAAACUCUUGAGUACAGUUCUGCUGCCAUCUGUUGUCACCACAGAGCUCCUCCCAAGGUUACCUUGUUGAUCACAGGGACCAAAAAGAUCCAAAAUAUCUCUUAUUUCACUGGUGUUUUACAAAAAUAAGGCAAAUAGCAAUUCUUACUUCCAAAUCUACUGCUGUGCUUUAUUCCUUGAGUUUAUGCUCAAAUCAACAGCUCUGGUUGCUUGUAUUGCAGUAUUUGUGAAACUACAAAUAUAUCAGAUACUCUGACCUGGUGCAUAAUGCUUCACAGAGCAUCUCUUUUGCAUGAUGGUACAGAGCAAAGAAAUUAAAUCCAACUUUUGGUGAGAAAUGGGUAAAUUUUAAUCCCUUAGUAACCCUUAACAUCUCAUCUUAAACUACAAGUUUGUUUGCAUUCAAGUGCCUAAAUGGUUGUGUUCAGCUGUGGAUUUUUAUUUGCACUUUGUAAAACUUAGCCAUGAACUUGUGGGUCUGACAUUUUCCCCCUUUAAUGACUCUUCUUUUCUACAGAAGUGACUGAAGCCUAAAUGUGGAAGUCAUCCAUUGCUUGUUCCAACUUUAAUACUCUUAACAGAGCACAAGAUAGACCCACAGAAUAAUUUAGGUUGGAAGGCACCCUUAGGAUCAGAGUCCAACUGUAAACCUAGUACUGCCAAGUCACUGGUAAGGAUGAGCCUCACUACACUUUGUAAAAUUCUAUUCUGCCCCAGUUUUAGAAUUAACUGGUUACUGUGAGUGUAGUACUUUGAAAUUAUAAAGGAUUCCUUAAGAACUAAUCACUUGGUGUGCUGAAGUACUAUUUUCUCUAAUUUAAUUGCAGAUUUGGGCUCUGUAUUAGCUCUGCAGGCAGUGAUCUCUCUGCUGUGUUAGGAUAACAGUUCCCUCAGGGCACAAACUGAAUGGAGUUCUCAGAGACUUCAGUGCAGUAGCUGGGCUGCAGGGCUGUGCUCACAAGGCUGGCUCCCAAUCAGCCCACCCAGCAGAGCAGUGACACCUGCCAGCCAGAGCCAGUGCAAGAACAGCGGAGCUGUGCACCUGUACACCAAACCUCUCAAUUUCAGCUCAUCACACACAAAGAGCUGAGCCCACACUCCUUACGCAGUAGCAACAUCCCAAAUCCAGUUUGGCCUGGUUUUGUCUGGGAUAGGGCAAGCUUUCCUCCUAGUAGUUGGCAGAGUGCUGUGUUUUGGAUUUAGUAGGAGCACAGUGUCGAUAACAAACUGAUGUUUUGGUUAUUGCUGAGUAGUGCUCACCCUAAGCCAAGGACUGUUUUCAUGCUCUGCCAGUGGGGAGGUGUAGAAAGUGCCAGGAGGGAGCAGGGCUGUGACAGCUGACCCAAACUAGCCAAAAGGAAAUUCCAUCCCAUAGAAUGUCAUGUAUAUAAACAGGGAGAGUUGUCUGGGGACUGCCUGGGCAAUGGUCAGUGAGUGGCGAGCAACUGUAUUGUGCAUUACGUGUUCUUCUCAGGUUUUAUUUCUCUGUCCUCUUUUCAUCACAAUUAUUACUGUUAUUACUGUUGGUAUUAUCAUAUUUUUCUUUGUUUCAAUCAAUAAACUGUUCUUAUCUCAACCCACGAGUUUUAUUUUCUCCAGAUUCUCCUCCCCAUCCUGCCAGGGGAGGUGGGCAGGGAGGGAGUGAGCUGUAUGAUACUAAGUUGCUGGUGGGGUUAAAUCACAGCAGCAAGACUAAAUUCAAAACAAACACAGGACACAAGGCAUCUCUUCACUCGAGAUUCAAACUCUCCCUUAUUUCCAGCACCCAGACUGGAUAUCAGCCAGCACGAGAGGUUCAAUAACAACAAAAGGUUACUAUGUCAUAAGGCCAUUUCCCAGCAGAGGUACUGAGUACAGAGCACUGGAAACAUUCCUUACCUUGUGACACAAUGUAUUUUGUGAUGCCACCUGACAUUUCUGCCCCUCUAGCCAUACUGCGUUUCCACCAUGAAAUGGAAAAACCUUCUGCUAAAAUCUGCACCGAACUACUGGUGCUCUCUAUAGAAAAUACGGAUAGUGGUGAUGCUGAAUGCCCCAAAUGUUCUCACCUCGGCCGGCACCAGGCUCACUGGCUAUACAAUGAGCAAACCCUGAAGCCUCAUUUUUGCAGUAGAAGUGGUGAGGCCUCUGGCAGGCACAUUCCCCUCACCUCGCAUUCCUCUGAGACUCCUCUCAUCAAAUUCACAAUCGACGCGAACGCUGCAUUGAGGCGUUCCCGGUCUCGGUCCUGCAACGAAAGACAUUCCUGGUCAUUCCGCCCGCCGCUUAGAGCACGAGGGUGGCGGGGCACCGAGCCGCGGAGCCCCGGUCACCGUCUCGGGGGCACCGGGCGGGGCGGGUAGCUGAGCCCCGAACGGAGAUGUGUUUCCGUGCAUCUCCAUCGCUAUCUGUAUCUGUGUGUGCGUGUCCCGGCGGGCCCGCGGCCCGUACGGAGAGGUAUCCCGUGUAUCUAUCUCCGCGCAUCUCCAUCGCUCUCUGUAUCUGUGUGUGCGGGCCCGCGGGU